GAUGGAACGUAGCGAAAUGCGAUAAGUAAUGUGAAUUGCAGAAUUCAGUGAAUCAUCGAAUCUUUGAACGCACAUUGCGCCCCUUGGUAUUCCGAGGGGCAUGCCUGUUCGAGCGUCAUUAUAACCCCUCAAGCUCAGCUUGGUGUUGGGGCCUGCUGCACUGGCAGCCCUUAAAAUCAGUGGCGGCGCCAUCUGGCUCUAAGCGUAGUAAUUCUUCUCGCUAUGGAGUCCUGGUGGAUGCUUGCCAUCAACCCCCAAUUUUUCUAUGGUUGACCUCGGAUCAGGUAGGGAUACCCGCUGAACUUAAGCAUAUCAAUAAGCGGAGGA
RNAcentral lists this unclassified non-coding RNA (327 nucleotides) under soil metagenome. Its description in RNAcentral is "partial contains 5.8S ribosomal RNA, internal transcribed spacer 2, and large subunit ribosomal RNA". The stretch from base 4 to 118 matches the Rfam family "5.8S ribosomal RNA", at positions 40 to 154 of the family's 154-position model. The record is from RNAcentral.